This 298-nucleotide ribosomal RNA is filed under the name Clostridioides difficile. Its description in RNAcentral is "partial 16S ribosomal RNA". It matches the Rfam family "Bacterial small subunit ribosomal RNA", at positions 754 to 1050 of the family's 1533-position model. The record is from RNAcentral. Lineage: Bacteria; Bacillati; Bacillota; Clostridia; Peptostreptococcales; Peptostreptococcaceae.
CGAAAGCGUGGGGAUCAAACAGGAGUAGAUAUCCUGGUAGGCCAGGCUGUAAACGAAUAAUACUAGGUGUCGGGUUUUACCCCCCUCGGUUCCCUAGCUAACGCAUUCAAUACUCCGCCUGGGAAAUCUAGUUGAAAUUGUGUAACUCAAAGUAAUUUUCGGUCACCCGACCAAGUAGCGGGGCAUAUGGUUUAAUUUGAAGACACGCCAAGAACCUUAACUUACCUUGACAUCCCAAUGACUUCUCCUUAAUCUGAGAGUUCCCUUCGGGGACAUUGGUGACAGGUGGUGCAUGGUU